ACAUUGGGAGAGAAGCUUUUCCGGAUGUGAAUACAGAAAUAAAUUGAAAUGGUGCCCAGGGACUGGGAAGAUGGACCUCCAUCAAAGCAACCAUCUUCCUUUAUGCAAGAUAUGACAUCACACCAUUGGCGGCCGGUCACUCGCUUGACUUUUGGAAUUUAAUUCCUUGAUCAAAGCUGUGAUGAGGUCUGGUGAUAGGUGGUCUGAGACAAACACCAUCUGGCAUCAGUAAGCAGAAUAUUGGAAAGUACAGACAGUGAUAAUUCUAACUCUGACAAUAUAUCCAUUGGCGUUGGCAACAUAUCGGAUGGCAAUGGUGGAGAACCAGAAUUAUCACAUUACUUUCAUCUCCAGCUGCAUCACCAGGACGGCUUCUGAGUAGCUUGGCAUCCAUUCUCUGCCCAUUUUUCAACAGAUUGUUCUUCCAGCAGCCUUCCAGUGAAAUAAACCACUCAGGAUUAAAAAUACCCUUAAAGAAAGGCAAUUUUACUUUACAUUUUUUUUCUGGCUGAUUGAUUAAAAACUACGCAAAAU
Amblyraja radiata (thorny skate) is the source of this 534-nucleotide long non-coding RNA. RefSeq lists it as uncharacterized. Lineage: Eukaryota; Metazoa; Chordata; Chondrichthyes; Rajiformes; Rajidae. The transcript has 2 exons. The record is from RefSeq and is a predicted model, not a curated record.